RNAcentral lists this ribosomal RNA (1351 nucleotides) under uncultured bacterium. RNAcentral describes it as "bacterial SSU rRNA". It matches the Rfam family "Bacterial small subunit ribosomal RNA", at positions 29 to 1393 of the family's 1533-position model. The record is from RNAcentral.
ACGAACGCUGGCGGCGUGCUUAACACACUGCAAGUCGAGCGGAAAGGCCCUUCGGGGUACUCGAGCGGCGAACGGGUGAGUAACACGUGAGUAACCUACCUCGAACUCUGGGAUAAGCCUGGGAAACUGGGUCUAAUACCGGAUGUUCAUCUCCUGCUGCAUGGUGGGGGAUGGAAAGUGUUUAGCGGUUCGGGAUGGGCUCGCGGCCUAUCAGCUUGUUGGUGAGGUAAUGGCUUACCAAGGCUUUUACGGGUAGCCGGCCUGAGAGGGCGACCGGCCACACUGGGACUGAGGUACGGCCCAGACUCCUACGGGAGGGAGCAGUGGGGAAUAUUGCGCAAUGGGCGGAAGCCUGACGCAGCAACGCCGUGUGAGGGAUGACGGCCUUCGGGUUGUAAACCUCUUUCACCAGGGACGAAGCUUUUGUGACGGUACCUGGGGAAGAAGCGCCGGCCAACUACGUGCCAGCAGCCGCGGUAACACGUAGGGCGCGAGCGUUGUCCGGAAUUAUUGGGCGUAAAGGGCUCGUAGGCGGUUUGUCGCGUCGAAAGUGAAAAUCCCGGGGCUCAACUCCGGACUUGCUUUCGAUACGGGCAGGCUAGAGGUAGGCAGGGGAGAAUGGAAUUCCUGGUGUAGCGGUGGAAUGCGCAGAUAUCAGGAGGAACACCGGUGGCGAAGGCGGUUCUCUGGGCCUUACCUGACGCUGAGGAGCGAAAGCGUGGGGAGCGAACAGGAUUAGAUACCCUGGUAGUCCACGCUGUAAACGUUGGGCGCUAGGUGUGGGAGUCUUUUGUGACGUCCGUGCCGUAGCUAACGCAUUAAGCGCCCCGCCUGGGGAGUACGGUCGCAAGACUAAAACUCAAAGGAAUUGACGGGGGCCCGCACAAGCGGCGGAGCAUGUUGCUUAAUUCGAGGCAACGCGAAGAACCUUACCUGGGUUUGACAUGUGGGUUAAUCCGGCAGAGAUGUCGGGUCCUUUUGGGAACUCAUGCAGGUGGUGCAUGGCUGUCGUCAGCUCGUGUCGUGAGAUGUUGGGUUAAGUCCCGCAACGAGCGCAACCCUCGUCCUAUGUUGCCAGCACGUUAUGGUGGGGACUCAUAGGAGACUGCCGGGGUCAACUCGGAGGAAGGUGGGGAUGAUGUCAAGUCUUCAUGCCCCUUAUGUCCAGGGCUGCAAACAUGCUACAAUGGUCGGUACAAUGGGCUGCGAGACCGUGAGGUGGAGCGAAUCCCUAAAAGCCGGCCUCAGUUCGGAUCGGGGUCUGCAACUCGACCCCGUGAAGUUGGAGUCGCUAGUAAUCGCGGAUCAGCAACGCCGCGGUGAAUACGUUCCCGGGCCUUGUACUCACCGC